This 552-nucleotide ribosomal RNA is filed under the name uncultured bacterium. Its description in RNAcentral is "bacterial SSU rRNA". It matches the Rfam family "Bacterial small subunit ribosomal RNA", at positions 347 to 916 of the family's 1533-position model. The record is from RNAcentral.
GGCAGCAGUGGGGAAUAUUGGACAAUGGACCAAGAGUCUGAUCCAGCAAUUCUGUGUGCACGAUGACGUUUUUCGGAAUGUAAAGUGCUUUCAGUUGGGAAGAAAAAAAUGACGGUACCAACAGAAGAAGUGACGGCUAAAUACGUGCCAGCAGCCGCGGUAAUACGUAUGUCACAAGCGUUAUCCGGACUUAUUGGGCGUAAAGCGCGUCUAGGUGGUUAUGUAAGUCUGAUGUGAAAAUGCAGGGCUCAACUCUGUAUUGCGUUGGAAACUGUAUAACUAGAGUACUGGAGAGGUAAGCGGAACUACAAGUGUAGAGGUGAAAUUCGUAGAUAUUUGUAGGAAUGCCGAUGGGGAAGCCAGCUUACUGGACAGAUACUGACGCUAAAGCGCGAAAGCGUGGGUAGCAAACAGGAUUAGAUACCCUGGUAGUCCACGCCAUAAACGAUGAUUACUAGGUGUUGGGGGUCGAACCUCAGCGCCCAAGCAAACGCGAUAAGUAAUCCGCCUGGGGAGUACGUACGCAAGUAUGAAACUCAAAUGAAUUGACGG